AGAGUUUGAUCAUGGCUCAGAUUGAACGCUGGCGGCAGGCCUAACACAUGCAAGUCGAACGGUAACAGGAAGCAGCUUGCUGCUUUGCUGACGAGUGGCGGACGGGUGAGUAAUGUCUGGGAAACUGCCUGAUGGAGGGGGAUAACUACUGGAAACGGUGGCUAAUACCGCAUAACGUCGCAAGACCAAAGAGGGGGACCUUCGGGCCUCUUGCCAUCAGAUGUGCCCAGAUGGGAUUAGCUAGUUGGUGAGGUAACGGCUCACCAAGGCGACGAUCCCUAGCUGGUCUGAGAGGAUGACCAGCCACACUGGAACUGAGACACGGUCCAGACUCCUACGGGAGGCAGCAGUGGGGAAUAUUGCACAAUGGGCGCAAGCCUGAUGCAGCCAUGCCGCGUGUAUGAAGAAGGCCUUCGGGUUGUAAAGUACUUUCAGCGGGGAGGAAGGUGUUGUGGUUAAUAACCACAGCAAUUGACGUUACCCGCAGAAGAAGCACCGGCUAACUCCGUGCCAGCAGCCGCGGUAAUACGGAGGGUGCAAGCGUUAAUCGGAAUUACUGGGCGUAAAGCGCACGCAGGCGGUCUGUCAAGUCGGAUGUGAAAUCCCCGGGCUCAACCUGGGAACUGCAUUCGAAACUGGCAGGCUUGAGUCUUGUAGAGGGGGGUAGAAUUCCAGGUGUAGCGGUGAAAUGCGUAGAGAUCUGGAGGAAUACCGGUGGCGAAGGCGGCCCCCUGGACAAAGACUGACGCUCAGGUGCGAAAGCGUGGGGAGCAAACAGGAUUAGAUACCCUGGUAGUCCACGCCGUAAACGAUGUCUACUUGGAGGUUGUGCCCUUGAGGCGUGGCUUCCGGAGCUAACGCGUUAAGUAGACCGCCUGGGGAGUACGGCCGCAAGGUUAAAACUCAAAUGAAUUGACGGGGGCCCGCACAAGCGGUGGAGCAUGUGGUUUAAUUCGAUGCAACGCGAAGAACCUUACCUGGUCUUGACAUCCACGGAAGUUUUCAGAGAUGGAAUGGUGCCUUCGGGAACCGUGAGACAGGUGCUGCAUGGCUGUCGUCAGCUCGUGUUGUGAAAUGUUGGGUUAAGUCCCGCAACGAGCGCAACCCUUAUCCUUUGUUGCCAGCGGUCCGGCCGGGAACUCAAAGGAGACUGCCAGUGAUAAACUGGAGGAAGGUGGGGAUGACGUCAAGUCAUCAUGGCCCUUACGACCAGGGCUACACACGUGCUACAAUGGCGCAUACAAAGAGAAGCGACCUCGCGAGAGCAAGCGGACCUCAUAAAGUGCGUCGUAGUCCGGAUUGGAGUCUGCAACUCGACUCCAUGAAGUCGGAAUCGCUAGUAAUCGUGGAUCAGAAUGCCACGGUGAAUACGUUCCCGGGCCUUGUACACACCGCCCGUCACACCAUGGGAGUGGGUUGCAAAAGAAGUAGGUAGCUUAACCUUCGGGAGGGCGCUUACCACUUUGUGAUUCAUGACUGGGGUGAAGUCGUAACAAGGUAACCGUAGGGGAACCUGCGGUUG
This 1522-nucleotide ribosomal RNA is filed under the name Salmonella enterica subsp. enterica serovar 4,12:r:-. Its description in RNAcentral is "bacterial SSU rRNA". It matches the Rfam family "Bacterial small subunit ribosomal RNA". Lineage: Bacteria; Pseudomonadati; Pseudomonadota; Gammaproteobacteria; Enterobacterales; Enterobacteriaceae. The record is from RNAcentral.